This 318-nucleotide ribosomal RNA is filed under the name Staphylococcus aureus. RNAcentral's name for it is "bacterial SSU rRNA". It matches the Rfam family "Bacterial small subunit ribosomal RNA", at positions 908 to 1225 of the family's 1533-position model. Lineage: Bacteria; Bacillati; Bacillota; Bacilli; Caryophanales; Staphylococcaceae. The record is from RNAcentral.
AAUUGACGGGGACCCGCACAAGCGGUGGAGCAUGUGGUUUAAUUCGAAGCAACGCGAAGAACCUUACCAAAUCUUGACAUCCUUUGACAACUCUAGAGAUAGAGCCUUCCCCUUCGGGGGACAAAGUGACAGGUGGUGCAUGGUUGUCGUCAGCUCGUGUCGUGAGAUGUUGGGUUAAGUCCCGCAACGAGCGCAACCCUUAAGCUUAGUUGCCAUCAUUAAGUUGGGCACUCUAAGUUGACUGCCGGUGACAAACCGGAGGAAGGUGGGGAUGACGUCAAAUCAUCAUGCCCCUUAUGAUUUGGGCUACACACGUGC